Eriocheir sinensis (Chinese mitten crab) is the source of this 520-nucleotide long non-coding RNA. RefSeq lists it as uncharacterized. Lineage: Eukaryota; Metazoa; Arthropoda; Malacostraca; Decapoda; Varunidae. The transcript has 5 exons. The record is from RefSeq and is a predicted model, not a curated record.
AUAUGGAGGAAGAUAGCAAGGUAAUAUGGAGAAGAUAGCAAGGUAAUAUGGAGGAAGAUAGCAAGGUAAUAUGGUGGAAGAUAGCAAGGUAAUAUGGAGAAGAUAGCAAGGUAAUAUGGAGGAAGAUAGCAAGGUAAUAUGGUGGAAGAUAGCAAGGUAAUAUGGUGGAAGAUAGCAAGGUAAUAUGGAGGAAGAUAGCAAGGUAAUAUGGUGGAAGAUAGCAAGGUAAUAUGGUGGAAGACAGCAAGGUAAUAUGGUGGAAGACAGCAAGGUAAUAUGGUGGAAGAUAGCAAGGUAAUAUGGUGGAAGACAGCAAGGUAAUAUGGUGGAAGACAGCAAGGUAAUAUGGAGGAAGACAGCAAGGUAAUAUGGUGGAAGAUAGCAAGGUAAUAUGGUGGAAGACAGCAAGGUAAUAUGGAGGAAGACAGCAAGGUAAUAUGGUGGAAGACAGCAAGGUAAUAUGGAGGAAGACAGCAAGGUAAUAUGGUGGAAGAUAGCAAGGUAAUAUGGUGGAAGACAG